GAAGGAUUAAUUGCAGCUUCAAGAACACAGAGUUGCUUUAGCUCUGAUGGUGUCUAGUUCAUUUUCUCCUGCACUGGGAGGAACAAGAAGAAAAAAAGGCUGCAACCGCAGCAGCAAGAGAGAUUUAGGGAAAACUUGGCCUUGACAGUGACUGGGUAGGAGAGAACAGCCCUCGGACACUCAUGGCAUGGGCCAAUUGUUUAGAUCAGGGAGAUUUUCAUUCUGGACCCUUAAAAGGUGGAUUUUUACAAAACCACUCAUUCCGUCUGGUGGGUCAGGUGUGGGGCGAGUGUGAGAAACGUACAUAAUGAGCUCAUCUUGAGGUGCUAUGGGGAGCAGCGGCUAACCUGAGCUAAAGAGGGUUUGGUCAUUUCCAAAGGGCUGCUGGAGAUAGCACUGUGGCUGCAUGAAGGAAUGGAAAGGGCUCUCCCUGCUUUAACUAGCUUCAGAUUUAUCUGUUUUAAAUCUUGGCUCUCCAUGUUACUGCUAAAAACAGUUUGAAGACCCCUCUAAUCGAGUUGGUCCCUAGAGCCAGACAGGGGAUCAGCUUUAAUAUUUUGCAGAAGCCCUAGGAAGGGGCAAACCUCCCAGAAGACAGCUCUGGCUCCAAAGAUGGACGAAAUGAGGCAUCCAGAACCAGACUUGAGGAUCCAACCCCAAAUCCUCCCCUUGCACAGAGCCCGAUGCGACCCAUGAACUGCGAGAUCUUGAUCUGAGCCGAAGUCAGACGCUUAACUUACUGAGCUACCCAGGCACCCUGAGAACCUUCCUUCUUCUGGGGCUCCUCUUAGCUCCAGCCUUGGUUCCCUCCCAUACAGACGGAUGGUAAAAGGCUCAUUCAAUGGUAAAAGGCUCUUAGGAAUGACUGUGGGCUCUCUGUCCCCAAGGGCCAUAAAAAUAAGGUGACCAGAAGCACAGAUGAGCUGCCCUGCUCCAGACCCUUCCCCUCUAGGGCAGAUAACUUAGCCUGAGCUGCCCCGUCAUUUGGAGCCCAGAAUUUGGCCUGUGACUUCAGAACGCAGCCCCGAUUUCUGAGCACAGAACACUUCAUAAUAAACAGCAGGGAAAGUGAAGCCGAGAUGAGCCUACAUCUCAGAAUUGUUUCCAAAUAAAGUGUUAUUUUUUUCCUC
Herpailurus yagouaroundi (jaguarundi) is the source of this 1130-nucleotide long non-coding RNA. RefSeq lists it as uncharacterized. Lineage: Eukaryota; Metazoa; Chordata; Mammalia; Carnivora; Felidae. The record is from RefSeq and is a predicted model, not a curated record. The transcript is spliced from 2 exons.